CUGGAGGAAUACCGAUGGCGAAGGCAGCCAUCUGGCCUAAUACUGACGCUGAGGUACGAAAGCAUGGGGAGCAAACAGGAUUAGAUACCCUGGUAGUCCAUGCCGUAAACGAUGUCUACUAGCCGUUGGGGCCUUUGAGGCUUUAGUGGCGCAGCUAACGCGAUAAGUAGACCGCCUGGGGAGUACGGUCGCAAGACUAAAACUCAAAUGAAUUGACGGGGGCCCGCACAAGCGGUGGAGCAUGUGGUUUAAUUCGAUGCAACGCGAAGAACCUUACCUGGCCUUGACAUACUAGAAACUUUCCAGAGAUGGAUUGGUGCCUUCGGGAAUCUAGAUACAGGUGCUGCAUGGCUGUCGUCAGCUCGUGUCGUGAGAUGUUGGGUUAAGUCCCGCAACGAGCGCAACCCUUUUCCUUACUUGCCAGCAUUUCGGAUGGGAACUUUAAGGAUACUGCCAGUGACAAACUGGAGGAAGGCGGGGACGACGUCAAGUCAUCAUGGCCCUUACGGCCAGGGCUACACACGUGCUACAAUGGUCGGUACAAAGGGUUGCUACCUAGCGAUAGGAUGCUAAUCUCAAAAAGCCGAUCGUAGUCCGGAUUGGAGUCUGCAACUCGACUCCAUGGAGUCGGAAUCGCUAGUAAUCGCGGAUCAGAAUGCCGCGGUGAAUACGUUCCCGGGCCUUGUACACACCGCCCGUCACACCAUGGGAGUUUGUU
Molecule: ribosomal RNA, 718 nt
Filed under: uncultured bacterium
Lineage: Bacteria
Description: bacterial SSU rRNA
Rfam family: Bacterial small subunit ribosomal RNA
Source: RNAcentral